RNAcentral lists this ribosomal RNA (409 nucleotides) under uncultured bacterium. RNAcentral's name for it is "bacterial SSU rRNA". It matches the Rfam family "Bacterial small subunit ribosomal RNA", at positions 28 to 436 of the family's 1533-position model. The record is from RNAcentral.
GAUGAACGCUAGCGGCAGGCUUAAUACAUGCAAGUCGAACGGUAACAGGGGAGCUUGCUCUCGCUGACGAGUGGCGCACGGGUGCGUAACGCGUAUGCAACUUGCCCUUAACUGAGGGAUAGCCCAGAGAAAUUUGGAUUAAUACCUCAUAAUAUAUUUGGAACACAUGUUUUAGAUAUUAAAGCUUCGGCGGUUAAGGAUGGGCAUGCGUCCUAUUAGUUAGUUGGUGAGGUAACGGCUCACCAAGACAGCGAUAGGUAGGGGCCUGAGAGGGUGAUCCCCACACUGGUACUGAGACACGGACCAGGCUCCUACGGGAGGCAGCAGUGGGGAAUAUUGCGCAAUGGGGGAAACCCUGACGCAGCGACGCCGCGUGCGGGAAGAAGGCUUUCGGGUCGUAAACCGCUGU